AAACAAAACAAUAAAAUGAUGAUGUGGCGCGCCAUAGGGAGCGCCUUAGGGCGCCCCACUGCAGGUGGGGAGGUAGGAGGAUAAAACUGCUGACGUGGGCGCGCCUUAGGGCGCCCCAUUGCUAAUUCUCUUAGUACCUUAAUUCAUUUAUGGAGUUCGUUUCUUGUGGUAGGUGCACUAGAAUGGCAGGGAUUUUGUAGCUGAAUUUUCUCGGCAGUGGCAGGUGGAGAGGUGGUUUGGCUGUGCCCUGCAGGCUGCUGCAGUUAAAAGGCUGAUAUGGCUCCAUGGCAGCCUUCGGUUGAGCUGGGGAAGUGCAGGGGUUGUUGUCAUCUAUCUUCCCUAAUUUGGCAUUCCCUUGGUCUUCAUAAAAAAGAGAUGGGCAAGCACUAGUUGGCUGGGAAUCCUCUCGUGACAUGGGUCGUUCUUUUUGGCCUGAUGGUCGAUCAAGACACGACGUGGGCGUAGCUCAGCUCGAUAUGAGGGAUACAUGUUUUUAUUCUAAUUAUUUACCCCACUUGUAAAAUAGUCACUUUAGUGCAUUUGUAAUAGAUUUUGUGUUACAUCUAAACUGUUACAUCUAAACUAUUCUCCUUUAUCCUUUCUUGGGUAGAUUAAGGCAUAGUUUGUAGUACUAAAGAUACUUUGUAUUAUAUACUUGACGAAAUAAAUGAACGAUACUCAUUCUUA
Molecule: long non-coding RNA, 687 nt
Organism: Salvia splendens (bonfire salvia)
Lineage: Eukaryota; Viridiplantae; Streptophyta; Magnoliopsida; Lamiales; Lamiaceae
Exons: 2
Source: RefSeq, a predicted model, not a curated record